UCUCUUUCUCUCUCUCUCUCUCUCUCUCUUUCUCUCUCUCUCUCUCUCUCUGCCUGUCAAACAGAAACCUUUUUUUUUUUUUCAGAGCUCGGAAGACGCGGUCAAAGGCGGCUCCUCCCGGGCGGACACGCUGCCGUCUGCCGGGAGAGACGAGAGUCCCGCAGGCGCCUCUCAGGACGACUCGGACGACCCCUGGUGACCCCGCCCGGCUGCCCGCACGCCGCGAGGGCCCUCGACGUCGAGCCCUUCGUGGGUCCCGUCGCACAAAAUCCCCAAUAAAAAUGUGAAAUCCAGCGUGACUGUUUUUUCUUCGUUUUGCUACUAUUAUUUUAUUUUUAUUUUGCUACUAGAAUGUGUGCCCACGACACCCUGUCUCAGGCCGGCUGACCGGUCACCCACACGGCCUGCGGCGGUUCCUUCCCUCGAGUGGGGCAUGACCACAGUGGCGGCCAUGUUCUCUAACGGCGGCCAUGUUGUCUAGCGGUUCCUUCUCUCAAGUAGGGGGUGACCACAGUGGCGGCCAUGUUGUCUAAUGGCGGCCAUGUUCUCUAACGGCGGCCAUGUUGUCUAGUGGCACCCAGCCAUUACUGGUCAACCAGAGGGCCUGCGGCGGCUCCUUCCCUCGAGUAGGGGGUGACCACAGUGGUGGCCAUGUUGUCUAAUGGCACCCAGCCGGCUUACCGGUCACCCACAGGGCCUGCGGCGGCUCCUUCCCUCGAGUAGGCGGGUGACCACAGUGGCGGCCAUGUUGUCUAGCGGCACCCGGCCGGUUCCCGACAAAACAGCGCGCCGGCUCGGACAGACUCGCACUCACACCCACACGCGGAAUCUUGAUGAUGCGACACUCGACGACACACGGAGCGCCGAGAAAGGCGGGACUGACGUGCAGGCGCGUGCGCGCGGCCGCCAUUUUAUUUCGUCGCUCUUAGUGCGUCCACACCUGUCUCCAUCUAGAUCUCUUAAGACACGCGCCCACGCGUGUUGGCUGAUUAUCUACAAAUAUUUAUUGGGACACUCGGAGAGCCGCAGGCAGCCCUGGGCACGGGCGGAAAAUACCGGUUCACCGUCAUCUGGGUUACAAAAAUCCGUACGUAGCAAAAUGGAACGCUCUUGA
This 1114-nucleotide long non-coding RNA is filed under the name Oryctolagus cuniculus (rabbit). RNAcentral's name for it is "lncRNA (ENSOCUG00000034622.1)". Lineage: Eukaryota; Metazoa; Chordata; Mammalia; Lagomorpha; Leporidae. The record is from RNAcentral.